UCAUACAGGGGGAUAACAGUUAAAAAUGACUGCUAAUACCGCAUAAGCGCACAGGACCGCAUGGUCAAGUGUGAAAAACUGAGGUGGUAUGAGAUGGACCCGCGUCUGAUUAGCUAGUUGGUGAGGUAAGGGCUCACCAAGGCAACGAUCAGUAGCCGACCUGAGAGGGUGACCGGCCACAUUGGGACUGAGACACGGCCCAAACUCCUACGGGAGGCAGCAGUGGGGAAUAUUGCACAAUGGGGGAAACCCUGAUGCAGCGACGCCGCGUGAGCGAAGAAGUAUUUCGGUAUGUAAAGCUCUAUCAGCAGGGAAGAAAAUGACGGUACCUGACUAAGAAGCACCGGCUAAAUACGUGCCAGCAGCCGCGGUAAUACGUAUGGUGCAAGCGUUAUCCGGAUUUACUGGGUGUAAAGGGAGUGUAGACGGAUAAGCAAGUCUGGAGUGAAAGCCCGGGGCUCAACCCCGGGACUGCUUUGGAAACUGUUUAUCUAGAGUGCUGGAGAGGUAAGUGGAAUUCCUAGUGUAGCGGUGAA
Molecule: ribosomal RNA, 536 nt
Filed under: uncultured bacterium
Lineage: Bacteria
Description: bacterial SSU rRNA
Rfam family: Bacterial small subunit ribosomal RNA
Source: RNAcentral